GACGAACGCUGGCGGCGUGCCUAAUACAUGCAAGUCGAAAGCAGUGGGGACGGGUGAGUAACACGUGGGUAACCUCCCAUCAGAGGGGAUAACACUUGGAAACAGGUGCUAAACCGAUACUGAUGGAUGGACCCGCGGUGCAUUAGCUAGUUGGUGAGGUAACGGAUCACCAGGGCCACGAUGCAUAGCCGACCUGAGGGGGUGAUCGGCCAGACUGGGACUGAGACACGGCCCAGACUCCUACGGGAGGCAGCCGUGGUGACUCUUCGUCAGUGGGCCAAAUCUUGACCAAGCAACGCCGCGGAAGUGAAGAAGGUUUUCGGAUCGUAAAACUCUGUUGUUAGAGAAGCGGUAUCUGACCAGAAAGCCACGGCUAACUACGUGCCAGCAGCCGCGGUAAUAC
Molecule: ribosomal RNA, 403 nt
Filed under: uncultured bacterium
Lineage: Bacteria
Description: partial 16S ribosomal RNA
Rfam family: Bacterial small subunit ribosomal RNA
Source: RNAcentral